This 395-nucleotide ribosomal RNA is filed under the name uncultured Limnohabitans sp. RNAcentral's name for it is "bacterial SSU rRNA". It matches the Rfam family "Bacterial small subunit ribosomal RNA", at positions 1 to 410 of the family's 1533-position model. The record is from RNAcentral. Lineage: Bacteria; Pseudomonadati; Pseudomonadota; Betaproteobacteria; Burkholderiales; Comamonadaceae.
UGACGAGUUUGAUCCUGGCGCAGAUUGAACGCUGGCGGAAUGCUUUACACAUGCAAGUCGAACGGUAGAGGGGGCAACCCCUUGAGAGUGGCGAACGGGUGAGUAAUGUAUCGGAACGUGCCCAGUCGUGGGGGAUAACGUAGUGAAAAUUACGCUAAUACCGCAUACGAUCUAUGGAUGAAAGCGGGGAUCGCAAGACCUCGCGCGAUUGGAGCGGCCGAUAUCAGAUUAGGUAGUUGGUAGGGUAAAGGCCUACCAAGCCAACGAUCUGUAGCUGGUCUGAGAGGACGACCAGCCACACUGGAACCGAGACACGGUCCAGACUCCUACGGGAGCAGCAGUGGGAAUUUGGACAAUGGGCGAAGCCUGAUCCAGCCAUUCCCGCGUGCAGGAUG